Malus domestica (apple) is the source of this 1185-nucleotide long non-coding RNA. RefSeq lists it as uncharacterized. NCBI's taxonomy places the organism in Eukaryota, Viridiplantae, Streptophyta, Magnoliopsida, Rosales, Rosaceae. The record is from RefSeq and is a predicted model, not a curated record.
UAUUAAAAAUUUGAGAUGUACAUCCCAAUUUCGAUCCAUAUUAUUUUAGAAUUUUGAAUGUCAAAUUUCAUUCGAGUGCACCAAAAUUGAAAGUUUUUGUUACCAACUUGGUCAAAACUGAUCAAAAUCGAAAUUUCCAAUCCACCUUCCACCUGUUCCAAUAAUCUAUUGGCUUGGACUUUCAAGCCCAACACCAAUGUAUGUUGACCCAACGUAACUUUAGGAGAAGAAAAUGCCCUCCAUUCCAAAAGCCCUUCCGGUCAAACACGGUGGAUACUGGAUACGCAGGUUCAAACACGAACGGGCUUUUCCUCCUCGCCGAGUCCCUCCUCGGACCUCAGUCAAUGGCAGUCUCUCUGAGAAGACUUGCAGCGGCAUUCGGCUACUCGCCACAUCUUCAAUGCGUUCAAAGCUUGUUUCCGUUGCGCUUUGGAAAUAGUUAGAGUUCCUCUGUGUCGUAUGAUCAGAGGACGGUGCUCCGACCUUUCAUCCAGAAUUCCAACAAUGGCAUAACGGAGGUGGGUCUUUCCACAAGUCUGCCUGCAUUGACCCAACAGUGUUCAUAGAGUUUGGUGCUGUAGUUCAUUCAAAAUCCGUUGUUGGCGAGCAUGCUCGUAUUGGUUCUGGAGCUGUCAUUGGAACUUCGGUCGCUAUUGGCAAUCAACCAAAAUUGGGUGACGAUCAAAUUUUUAACUCGACAUUGCGACUCCACUAAACUGUGAUAGCACUUCUGCCAUUGCAAUCACUAAGAACCCUAUUUUUCACCAGAAGACUAAACACGUCAACAGGAGAUAUCAUUUUAUCGAGGAGGCUUUGCGGAAUGAGAUCAUUGACUUGGUGUACUGUUCAACCAAAGAACAGGUAGCUGAUAUAUUCACAAAGGCUCUUACCAAAGAUCAAUUCCGUCAUCUCAGAGAGCUAUUGGGAGUGAAAUCAGUUCACAAUUUAGGGGGAGUGUUGAUGUGUAAAUUGAUGAACUGAUAUGAAGAAGAUUACAAGUUUUGUGUAGUGUAAUGCUUCAGCUCAUAGGCUAAGCUUAUGUUUUUUUGUUUUUUUGUUUUUAUUGGAGAGUUUCGAAUUCUAGACUUAACAUACUCUUACACAUCACAUUACUCACACCCUCAACUUUUCUUUUGGCACUUUUUCAUUUCAUUCAUCUUCGAAUUAAAUGAAACGUUUUUUUUU